UACAGAGGUCCCGAGCGUUGUUCGGAUUCAUUGGGCGUAAAGGGUGCGUAGGCGGCGGGGCAAGUCUGAUGUGAAAUCCUGGGGCUCAACCUCAGAACUGCAUUGGAUACUGCCUUGCUAGAGCACUGGAGAGGGAACUGGAAUUUACGGUGUAGCAGUGAAAUGCGUAGAGAUCGUAAGGAAGGCCAGUGGCGAAGGCGAGUUCCUGGACAGUGACUGACGCUGAGGCACGAAGGCCAGGGGAGCAAACGGG
RNAcentral lists this ribosomal RNA (253 nucleotides) under uncultured bacterium. RNAcentral's name for it is "partial 16S ribosomal RNA". It matches the Rfam family "Bacterial small subunit ribosomal RNA", at positions 524 to 776 of the family's 1533-position model. The record is from RNAcentral.